RNAcentral lists this ribosomal RNA (111 nucleotides) under uncultured bacterium. RNAcentral's name for it is "partial 16S ribosomal RNA". It matches the Rfam family "Bacterial small subunit ribosomal RNA", at positions 1375 to 1482 of the family's 1533-position model. The record is from RNAcentral.
CGGACCUUGUACACACUGCCCGUCACACCACGAAAGCCGUUUGUACCCGAAGUUGUUUUUGCUAACCUUUACUGGAGGCAAAUACCUAAGGUAUGAGGAGUGAUUGGGGUG